This 447-nucleotide ribosomal RNA is filed under the name uncultured bacterium. RNAcentral describes it as "partial 16S ribosomal RNA". It matches the Rfam family "Bacterial small subunit ribosomal RNA", at positions 29 to 523 of the family's 1533-position model. The record is from RNAcentral.
AACGAACGCUGGCGGCAGGCCUAACACAUGCAAGUCGAACGCCCCGCAAGGGGAGUGGCAGACGGGUGAGUAACGCGUGGGAAGCUACCCAAUUCUACGGAACAACUGAGGGAAACUUCAGCUAAUACCGUAUACGCCCUACGGGGGAAAGAUUCAUCGGAAUUGGAUGAGCCCGCGUUGGAUUAGCUAGUUGGUGGGGUAAUGGCCUACCAAGGCGACGAUCCAUAGCUGGUCUGGGAGGAUGAUCAGCCACACUGGAACUGAGACACGGCCCAGACUCCUACGGGAGGCAGCAGUGGGGAAUAUUGGACAAUGGGCGAAAGCCUGAUCCAGCCAUGCCGCGUGAGUGAUGAAGGCCUUAGGGUUGUAAAGCUCUUUCAGUGGGGAAGAUAAUGACGGUACCCACAGAAGAAGCCCCGGCUAACUUCGUGCCAGCCGCCGCCGUAA